AUUUAUCUUACCAGUGGUUUCAUUACUCAGAAGAGUCUCUGCUUCUGGCUUCAAAGACACAAGUUGAGACCUGCCAACAAUUAUGACACAGCAGAACGGAAGGGAAAACCUUUAAAUGCCUAAGAAAAGCCUCUUAAAAAGUCCAACAGUACCUGUCACAAGUGUCAGCCAGACGAACCAUCAGGUACUUUAUGGUUGGAUUGUAACACACUUCAUGAAUGGGUAAGUCUCCUA
Molecule: long non-coding RNA, 234 nt
Organism: Labeo rohita (rohu)
Lineage: Eukaryota; Metazoa; Chordata; Actinopteri; Cypriniformes; Cyprinidae
Exons: 2
Source: RefSeq, a predicted model, not a curated record